CAGCAGCCACGGUAAUACGGAGGGGGCUAGCGUUGUUCGGAAUUACUGGGCGUAAAGCGCACGUAGGCGGCUUUACAAGUCAGAGGUGAAAGCCUGGAGCUCAACUCCAGAAUUGCCUUUGAGACUGUAUCGCUUGAACACGGGAGAGGUGAGUGGAAUUCCGAGUGUAGAGGUGAAAUUCGUAGAUAUUCGGAAGAACACCAGUGGCGAAGGCGGCUCACUGGACCGUUGUUGACGCUGAGGUGCGAAAGCGUGGGGAGCAAACAGGAUUAGAUACCCGCGUAGUCCCUGUCUCUUAUAC
RNAcentral lists this ribosomal RNA (301 nucleotides) under uncultured bacterium. RNAcentral's name for it is "partial 16S ribosomal RNA". It matches the Rfam family "Bacterial small subunit ribosomal RNA", at positions 509 to 807 of the family's 1533-position model. The record is from RNAcentral.